UACGGGGGGUGCGAGCGUUGUCCGGAAUCACUGGGCGUAAAGGGCGCGUAGGUGCCUGUGGAAGUCUGCGGUGAAAGCCCGGCGCUCAACGCCGGGUCGGCCGUUGGAUACUCUCGGGCUUGAGCUUACUAGAGGCAGAUGGAAUUCCGGGUGUAGCGGUGGAAUGCGUAGAGAUCCGGAAGAACACCGGUGGCGAAGGCGGUCUGCUGGGCAGUUGCUGACG
This 223-nucleotide ribosomal RNA is filed under the name uncultured bacterium. Its description in RNAcentral is "partial 16S ribosomal RNA". It matches the Rfam family "Bacterial small subunit ribosomal RNA", at positions 524 to 745 of the family's 1533-position model. The record is from RNAcentral.